GACGAACGCUGGCGGCGUGCUUAACACAUGCAAGUCGAACGGAAAGGCCCUGCUUUUGUGGGGUGCUCGAGUGGCGAACGGGUGAGUAACACGUGAGUAACCUGCCCUUGACUUUGGGAUAACUUCAGGAAACUGGGGCUACUACCGGAUAGGAGCUCCUGCAGCAGGGUGGGGGUUGGAAAGUUUCGGCGGUUGGGGAUGGACUCGCGGCUUAUCAGCUUGUUGGUGGGGUAGUGGCUUACCAAGGCUUUGACGGGUAGCCGGCCUGAGAGGGUGAACGGCCACAUUGGGACUAAGAUACGGCCCAGACGCCUACGGGAGGCAGUAGUGGGAAAUAUUGUACAAUGGGCGGAAGUCUGAGGCAGCAACGCCCCGUGCGUGAUGACGGCCUGCGGGGAGUAAACCGCUUUCGCCUGUGACGAAGCGUGAGUGACGGUAAUGGGUAAAGAAGCACCGGCUAACUACGUG
Molecule: ribosomal RNA, 468 nt
Filed under: uncultured bacterium
Lineage: Bacteria
Description: partial 16S ribosomal RNA
Rfam family: Bacterial small subunit ribosomal RNA
Source: RNAcentral